This 3927-nucleotide long non-coding RNA is filed under the name Nicotiana tabacum (common tobacco). Its description in RNAcentral is "long non-coding RNA (NTAB_LNC000383)". Lineage: Eukaryota; Viridiplantae; Streptophyta; Magnoliopsida; Solanales; Solanaceae. The record is from RNAcentral.
AAGGUAAACAGACCAACCCCUUACCCUAUUAACCUAACCCACCCGGCCCCCUUUGGCCGGUCCAGUCCGGUUCCGAUUUCAACCGGUUUGGACCGGUCCGAAAGCGGGCUGACCCGGCUCGUUAGGCACCGUUGGUUCUACAUAUAAGACUACCCCUAUGCCUCAAAUGUUAUUUCUUAACAUUCCCUAGGUCGUUGAGUAAUAUUAGUAAAAUAUGGGUUCAGAAAACAGCAAAACCAAAAAACAAAAUCAAGAUUCAGCAUAUUUGUCCAGGGGAAGAAGAAAAGUGAAAGCAGCGGUAGAAGAAGAAUGAGGGAUACGACAAAAAUGAAAGCACUGAGAUCUGGGUUAGUGGUAAUUGGAGCUGUUGCAUUUGGUUACCUGAAUUUGCAGCUAAUGUUCAAGCCCUUUCUUGAGAAAACACAGUCACAACAAGCUCUCCUCCACUCUGAAUCAUCCCAACAACAACAAUCUGAGUCGGAUCAAAGCUUAUGACUAUUUCAUUUUAACUUAUGGUUCAUUUUAUGUAAUGCUUUUGCUAUUUUUCUUGAUCCCAUGUGGAAAAACUGGUUCAAUUUUUAUAAUUUUCAGCCCUGUAUCUCUUCUCUUAUAAUUCAUGGUUUAAAAGGUAAUGGCGUCAACUCAUUGUUAUCCAUGGUAUGUAGCUGAUCCUAAUGAUUGUUAACUAUGUUUGUGACAAAGUAGGAGGAUACUAGAGUAUUAAUCCUAGGACUUGAACCUGUGAAAUAAAGCAAUUUUUAACCCCUUUGCCACUAAAGUUGUUUUUGCCCUAUUAUGCAAUGUAAUUUUCCGGCCAAGGGGAUUCAAUUGAACCCCUUGACGGACACCUAGCUCCAUUCGUAGUUUGUCCGACCAGUAUUUUAAAUGAGUGGGUGGAGUAGCAAAUGUGUCUACCCCUUCUUUGUUACAGUUGAUUUUUUUUUUUUCAAAAUUGAUUUGGACUUAGCAUAAAUAUAUAUAUACAUAUUAAAAAAAUGUAUGCAUACACCUACGGUCGAAGGAAGCGGGUGCAUCUGCAAAAUGGGGCCGUCCUGGUAAAUCAUCCCAUUUUUGUGUCAAAAGCUCUUUAAAGGAUUAAAGUCUUGUCCAUACAGGUCUGAAUUUGAAACUUCUUUUAAAGUAGAAAGGAAAAAAAAAUUGUCUUUGGAGGUCGACCAAGGCAGUUAUUUCUUGGCCAUGCUAAUAAAGGAUAGGAGGUUAAUCUUUCUCUAGCUUUUUUUUCGUUUCAAUUUUAUGUGGUAGUAUUUGAUAUUGUAAGUAAUGCUGCAGUGCUGAUUGUGUGUUUGCUUGUGAGUGGGAUUAAGGAAGUCAGGGUCUUAGGAAACAUAAUUUGGCUUGGGAUAGAGAGUUGGAAAUGGGGACUCUAUCAAGCUUUGGUUAUUUGAUUAUUUCUACGGACUGUAUCUAAUAGUAGCCCCAUGUUUUGGUGAGUGGUUAAAUUACUGAUUUUCUUUUCAGCGAUUUAAACCAAGUUUAGCUUCAACUCCUUAUUCUAUUUCAAGUGGUAUUAGGUGUAAGAGGGAGUAGCCGUAGGUGACAUGAAAAUGAUCAUUGAUUUCUUGAGCUGCUAAUCUGCUAUGCAUAUGGUUUUGAUUACUUACUUGUUGAUCUUCUUUUGCUAUGUUCUCAAUUUGACAGCUCUUACUGAAGCAGAGGAAAUUUGUGUAUCAAGUAGCUGCUAGACUAGUAAGGUGCCUAGGUGUCUCCAUUUCAUUUCUAUAGUGGAAUUUUACGGCAGUGCCAUGUUUGUUAUUGUGCAACAGUGUUUGAGAACAUAGGUUUAGAGGUUUUCUUUGACCUAUUCAAUAGAAAUAGCAUAGAAAAUUUUGACGACACACUGAUCGAAUUUUUGUAUUCCAAUUGGAGGAAGACAUCUGAGGCUAACAUAUAUAUGGGGAAAGUGAAAAUCAUAUUUAAGUAGCUCGCCACUGGAGAGUGUUAGGAGGCUAUUGUGAGAGCUUGCCUGGAAUUUUCAACAAUAGUUUCUCAUAAAGCCUUGUGAGAAGUUCAACUACUGGUUUGACAUGUUGUUGGAGAAAUUUCUCCUAUUGACCAACUUCAACCCAUUACCAGGACUUAUGUAUUUGAAGUGAUGCCACCUACCAAAAUAUGCGUCGGAAGUGAGGACCUGAAUGGAGAAUCUGAGAUGCAAUUGUUUGGGUUUUAAGAUUCUGAAGUAUCUGCAGCAUUUGGAAUUGAAUAUUAAUCAGACUUUCCCGUAAGAUUUAAAGAAAGAGUUAUGGGGAUAUUAUAUACUGGAAUAGGCUAAAUAUUCGUUUUCUUGUGGUUAGCUGCUUAGAGAGCAUUUUAACAUUUAUAGCCGAAACAAAGAUAAAAAGAGGGAGAUAUUGCAUUGCUGGUGUGUAUUCUGCAUAAAACCAGGAGAAGAACUGAAUCACCUUUGCUACAUGUUCAAGUUGUGAUAUAGAUGCCUGGAGUCAGGGUGAUAUUAGAAUAUCAUUUAUUACUUUGGAAGAGCUCCUUGUCGGAUUGUUUUGGUUCCUUGAACGUUCACUUCUUUCUAUAGUUUCUUAAAAGGUUCAACUGAAACAGAGGAAAUAAGUGAUUUAAAUACCUACUAGAGUAGUACAGCACCUAGGUGUCUACAUUUUGCUUCCAUAGUGGCCUUUUGAUGGCUGUAUCAUGGUUGUUUUUAUACAAUGGUGUGGAGAAAUAGAAGCUUGGAGGGAUAGUAGAAACUCGUAAGGAGACACCGACCUUAACUAUUGAUCUCACUUGGAGGAAGAUAAAAAAUGCAGUAACUCACCCUUGAGAACUUCGGGACUUUGGUUCGAGCGCAGCUCGUGAAAUGUGGAUUAGGUGCACAUCAUGAGUUUGAUCCUUGCUGCAGACAAAAUUUUAGUAUUUAAGUGUUGAAAGGUAGAGGGGCAGGUCCAUUAUCCACUGAGUUUUGAACCGUGCGCCACUUGGCCCUUGGGAUUUCUUGGUUACUAAAAAAAGUAGCUGCUAAUCCCUGGAGAAGGGUAGGAUGGUUAUUAUGAGAUUUCAGAUGGAGCUUUCAAAGAAUAUAUAUUUUCUUGUAAAACCUAAUGAGAGGAAGUUUUACAUAUGGUUGGGCGGAAUUUCUCCUAAAGACCAGCUUCAACAAUUUCUGUUUAGUUAGUAAAGGACUGAUGUAUCAGACAUGUGGCUUACUUACCAAAAGAUGUCAGAAAUGGGGACCUGAAUGGAGAAUUUUAGAUGCAGUUGUUUUGGUUAGUAAGGAUUUUGAUUUAGAUGCUAAUCGGGAGUUUCUUUUGAAGGUCAACAGAGCAAGAAUUAAUUUGGGAGAUUGGAUAUAAGCUGGUUAGAGUAUGCAAAGUUUGUGUAGUUAGCAUAGCAGCAGAUACCUCAGUUCACAAAUACAAACAAAUUAAUAAAGAGAGAUUUUGCUUGCUUGGUGUAGAUUCUGCUAAAGAGAGAUUUAACAGGUGAUAGAGAGAAAUUCAAAGGCAUCUAGUUGAGGUGAGGUAAGUGGAUCAGAUAAAUGAUGAAAGUGGCACUCCAUAUCUAAGUUUGGAUGAAUGAGGGCCCUAAUACUUCUCAUCGACAAUCAUGGACUCUUGCCCCGCUAUCUUGGACAUGCAUAAUUAUGUUUAUUGGCAAUCUAUUACUGUAUGUAGUACUUUGUUAACAAUGCAUACAUCUCACAUAAUUGCAGGCAUAAAGGUCCAUUUGCAUUUGUCUGAAGAAGCAUGCUUUCACUCAUACAUGCUUAUGGUGAAAGAAAGCUACAGAUGUCAUGUCGUCUGAUUGUUUUCACUACAUUUCCAAAGUAUAAUUUUAGGUAAGUGCUGUUUAUUUUUGCAAUUGUCAGGUUUAAUUAGCUGAAGAAUGGCUACGGAAACAAGACACUUUUUCGAGUUUGGUCUUUUUCUUAAUAUUUUCGACCUCCCAACAAAUUAU